UCGUAACAAGGUUUCCGUAGGUGAACCUGCGGAAGGAUCAUUAGUGAUUGCCAUCUUGGCUUAAACUAUAUCCAUCUACACCUGUGAACCGUUUGAUUGAAUCUCUGAUUCAAUUUUACAAACAUUGUGUAAUGAACGUCAUUAGAUCAUAACUAAAAAAAACUUUUAACAACGGAUCUCUUGGCUCUCGCAUCGAUGAAGAACGCAGCGAAAUGCGAUAAGUAAUGUGAAUUGCAGAAUUCAGUGAAUCAUCGAAUCUUUGAACGCAACUUGCGCUCUCUGGUAUUCCGGAGAGCAUGCCUGUUUGAGUGUCAUGAAAUCUCAACCAUUAGGGUUUCUUAAUGGCUUGGAUUUGGAGGUUGCCAUUCUGAAUGGCUCCUCUCAAAAGAGUUAGCGAGUUUAACUAUUGCUAUCUGGCGUAAUAAGUUUCGCUGGAAUGGUAUUGUGAAGCGCGCUUCUAAUCGUCUUCGGACAAUUACUUUGACUCUGGCCUCAAAUCAGGUAGGACUACCCGCUGAACUUAAGCAUAUCAAUAAGCGGAGGAAAAGAAACUAACAAGGAUUCCCUUAGUAACGGCGAGUGAACCGGGAAGAGCUCAAAUUUGAAAUCUGGCUGUCUUCGAUAGUCCGAGUUGUAAUCUAUAGAAGCGUUUUCCGUGCUGAACUGUGUAUAAGUCCCUUG
RNAcentral lists this unclassified non-coding RNA (681 nucleotides) under Apiotrichum laibachii. RNAcentral's name for it is "sequence contains 18S rRNA gene, ITS1, 5.8S rRNA gene, ITS2, 28S rRNA gene". The stretch from base 161 to 314 matches the Rfam family "5.8S ribosomal RNA". The record is from RNAcentral. Lineage: Eukaryota; Fungi; Basidiomycota; Tremellomycetes; Trichosporonales; Trichosporonaceae.